AUUGAACGCUGGCGGCAGGCCUAACACAUGCAAGUCGGACGGUAGCACAGAGGAGCUUGCUCCUCGGGUGACGAGUGGCGGACGGGUGAGUAAUGUCUGGGGAUCUGCCCGAUAGAGGGGGAUAACCACUGGAAACGGUGGCUAAUACCGCAUAACGUCGCAAGACCAAAGAGGGGGACCUUCGGGCCUCUCACUAUCGGAUGAACCCAGAUGGGAUUAGCUAGUAGGCGGGGUAACGGCCCACCUAGGCGACGAUCCCUAGCUGGUCUGAGAGGAUGACCAGCCACACUGGAACUGAGACACGGUCCAGGCUCCUACGGGAGGCAGCAGUGGGGCAUAUUGCACAAUGGGCGAAAGCCUGAUGCAGCCAUGCCGCGUGUAUGAAGAAGGCCUUCGGGUUGUAAAGUACUUUCAGCGGGGAGGAAGGCGAUGUGGUUAAUAACCGCAUUGAUUGACGUUACCCGCAGAAGAAGCACCGGCUAACUCCGUGCCAGCCGCCGCCGUAA
This 506-nucleotide ribosomal RNA is filed under the name uncultured bacterium. RNAcentral's name for it is "partial 16S ribosomal RNA". It matches the Rfam family "Bacterial small subunit ribosomal RNA", at positions 29 to 523 of the family's 1533-position model. The record is from RNAcentral.